RNAcentral lists this ribosomal RNA (427 nucleotides) under uncultured bacterium. Its description in RNAcentral is "partial 16S ribosomal RNA". It matches the Rfam family "Bacterial small subunit ribosomal RNA", at positions 355 to 774 of the family's 1533-position model. The record is from RNAcentral.
UGGGGAAUAUUGGACAAUGGGCGAAAGCCUGAUCCAGCCAUGCCGCGUGUGUGAAGAAGGUCUUCGGAUUGUAAAGCACUUUAAGUUGGGAGGAAGGGUUGUAGAUUAAUACUCUGCAAUUUUGACGUUACCGACAGAAUAAGCACCGGCUAACUCUGUGCCAGCAGCCGCGGUAAUACAGAGGGUGCAAGCGUUAAUCGGAAUUACUGGGCGUAAAGCGCGCGUAGGUGGUUUGUUAAGUUGGAUGUGAAAUCCCCGGGCUCAACCUGGGAACUGCAUUCAAAACUGACUGACUAGAGUAUGGUAGAGGGUGGUGGAAUUUCCUUUGUAGCGGUGAAAUGCGUAGAUAUAGGAAGGAACACCAGUGGCGAAGGCGACCACCUGGACUAAUACUGACACUGAGGUGCGAAAGCGUGGGGAGCAAACA